This 1012-nucleotide ribosomal RNA is filed under the name Chryseobacterium sp. RNAcentral describes it as "bacterial SSU rRNA". It matches the Rfam family "Bacterial small subunit ribosomal RNA", at positions 83 to 1103 of the family's 1533-position model. The record is from RNAcentral. Lineage: Bacteria; Pseudomonadati; Bacteroidota; Flavobacteriia; Flavobacteriales; Weeksellaceae.
GGGAUCUUGAGAGCGGCGUACGGGUGCGGAACACGUGUGCAACCUGCCUUCUGGGGGAUAGCCUUUCGAAAGGAAGAUUAAUACCCCAUAAUAUAUUUUUCGGCAUCGAAAGAUAUUGAAAACUCCGGUGGAUAGAGAUGGGCACGCGCAAGAUUAGAUAGUUGGUGAGGUAACGGCUCACCAAGUCUGCGAUCUUUAGGGGGCCUGAGAGGGUGAUCCCCCACACUGGUACUGAGACACGGACCAGACUCCUACGGGAGGCAGCAGUGAGGAAUAUUGGACAAUGGGUGAGAGCCUGAUCCAGCCAUCCCGCGUGAAGGACGACGGCCCUAUGGGUUGUAAACUUCUUUUGUAUAGGGAUAAACCUACCCUCGUGAGGGUAGCUGAAGGUACUAUACGAAUAAGCACCGGCUAACUCCGUGCCAGCAGCCGCGGUAAUACGGAGGGUGCAAGCGUUAUCCGGAUUUAUUGGGUUUAAAGGGUCCGUAGGCGGAUCUGUAAGCAUGUGGUGAAAUCUCACAGCCAUACUGUGAAACUGCCAUUGAUACUGCAGGUCUUGAGUGUUGUUGAAGUAGCUGGAAUAAGUAGUGUAGCGGUGAAAUGCAUAGAUAUUACUUAGAACACCAAUUGCGAAGGCAGGCAUCAUAGCAACAACUGACGCUGAUGGACGAAAGCGUGGGGAGCGAACAGGAUUAGAUACCCUGGUAGUCCACGCCGUAANCGAUGCUAACUCGUUUUUGGGUUUUCGGAUCAUGAGACUAAGCGAAAGUGAUAAGUUAGCCACCUGGGGAGUACGAACGCAAGUUUGAAACUCAANGGAAUUGACGGGGGCCCGCACAAGCGGUGGAUUAUGUGGUUUAAUUCGAUGAUACGCGAGGAACCUUACCAAGGCCAUAAUGGGAAAUGACAGGUUUAGAAAUAGACUUUUCUUCGGACAUUUUUCAAGGUGCUGCAUGGUUGUCGUCAGCUCGUGCCGUGAGGUGUUAGGCAUAGUCCUGCAACGAGCGCAACC